UAGUUUCUAUUGCUAUGUCUUCAAGUUCACUAAUCUUUUCUUCUGCUACAUGUAAUCUGCCAUUCUAUCUAGUUUAUUUUUUAAUCUCAGAAACUGUAGUUUUUAUCUAGUUCAUCUUGGGUCUUGUUUUAUAUCAUCUAUGUGUCUUCUUAACUUUUUGAACAUAUGGAAUACAGCUAAAAUGAUAUACUUCUCUGCUAAUUGUGACAUCUCUUUCAGUUCUAGAAUUUCAAUUGAUCAUCCUCUUUUCUUAUCCUGGGUUGUUUUCCUGAUUCUUUGUGUGCCUGGUAACUUUUGGCUAUCUGAUAUUCUGAAUUUUACUUUCUUAUAUUUUGGAUAUUUUCCUAUAUCUGUAAAUUCUUUUUUUGUUUCGUUCUGUUUUUGGGGGCAGGGUCUCAGUCUGUCACAACCUCCUGGGCUCAAGCAAUCCUCCUACCUCAGCUUCCCGAGUAGCUGGGAACUACAGGUGCAUGCCACCACACCCAGCUAAUUUUUUUUUUUUUUUUUUUGGUAGAGAAAUGGGGUUUUGCUAUGUUGCCCAGGCUGGCCUCAAGCUCCUGGUCUCAAGUGAUCUGCCCACCUUGGCCUCCCAAAGUGCUGGGAUUACAGGUGUGAGCCACCGUGUGUGGCCACCUAUAAAUUCUUGAGCUUUUUUCCGGGAUACAAUCAAGUUAUUUGAAAACAGUUUUAUUAUUUUGGGUCUUGCUUUUAUGAUUUGUUGGGUGGGUCCAUUUAGGGUUAAUUAUUGUCUAGUAUAAGGCAAUACCUUCCUGAGUAUUCGACCCAAGGCCCCACAAAUUAUGAGAUUUUAUUUUUAUAGUCCAGCUUUUGGGAACAAGCACUCUUCCCAGCUCUGUGUGAGCACCUGGUACUGUUCCCUCCAAUACUUCAGCAUGGUUCUUUCUUCUGUCUUGGGUAGUUUCCUCAUAAGUAUACUAUCAUCAUACUUAAAGGGGACCCUCUCUAGUCUCCUGGAUUCUCACUGUGUGUAGCUGUCUCCUUCUUGGUGCUGUGUCGUGUGAACUCUGAUUGCCUUGGUCUUCCUGGGUGCUUGGCUUCACUUUCUUAAUUCAUGAAAUGACUUAAAAAGAGUAUGGAUUGGCCGGUCACAGUGGCUCACGCCUUAAUCCCAGCACUUUGGGAGGCCGAGGUGGGCGGAUCACGAGGUCAGGAGAUGAGACCAUCCUGGCUAACACGGUGAAACCCCGUCUCUACUAAAAAUACAAAAAAAUUAGCCGGGCGCCGUGGCGGGCGCCUGUAGUCCCAGCUACUCGGGAGGCUGAGGCAGGAGAAUGGCGUGAACCCAGGAGGCGGAGCUUGCAGUGAGCCGAGACUGCGCCACUGCACUCCAGCCUGGGCAACGGAGGGAGACUCCAUCUCAAAACAAAAAAACAAAAAGAAAACAAAAAAAAUAGUAUGGAUUAACAGAUUUGGCUGAAAAUCUAAGAAUGUGUGAACUGUAACCUGCCUAUAAAAGUAAGCCAACUAACUGUAUAUGCGUGUGUGUGUGCAUAUAUAUAGAUAUAUAUAAAAUAAAUUUAUAUAGAGAUGGGGGUUUCCCUAUGUUGCCCUGACUGGUCUUAAACUCCUGGGCUCAAGUUAUCUGACCGCCUCGACCUCCCAAAGUGCUGGGAUUACAGGCAUGAGCCACUGUGCGCAGCCAAACUUGAUUAUUUUUAGAGUUUGAUAUACAGUGUUAGUAAUCCUGUAUACAUGACAUUAGAUGCUUUUAAAUUCUUUAAUUUAUAUAUAAUGUAAUGUAUGUUCUUUAAUUUGAAUCUGUCUGAUUUGAAAAAUGAACUUGACCUCAUUGAACUACUUUAUAUAUUUAUGAAGAAUUGAUUUACUUUGCAGAUUAUUGACAUAAAGUGUUACUGAUUGACCUUAACAGAACAAGCUUUUUCAAAUAUUGUAAUCAUCUUUAUAUUAACAUUUUGUUUAUUAAGGAUUUUAUUGCAUCUAAAGGAUUUUACGUGGCUUAUAGGAUUGAAUAAAAUGUGGAAUAGAACAAUUA
This 2014-nucleotide long non-coding RNA is filed under the name Homo sapiens (human). RNAcentral describes it as "non-protein coding lnc-NFKBIA-6:1". The record is from RNAcentral. Lineage: Eukaryota; Metazoa; Chordata; Mammalia; Primates; Hominidae.